RNAcentral lists this ribosomal RNA (521 nucleotides) under uncultured bacterium. Its description in RNAcentral is "bacterial SSU rRNA". It matches the Rfam family "Archaeal small subunit ribosomal RNA", at positions 345 to 866 of the family's 1478-position model. The record is from RNAcentral.
AACCUCCGCAAUGCGAGAAAUCGCGACGGGGGGAUCCCAAGUGCCAUUCUUAACGGGAUGGCUUUUCAUUAGUGUAAAGAGCUUUUGGAAUAAGAGCUGGGCAAGACCGGUGCCAGCCGCCGCGGUAACACCGGCAGCUCUAGUGGUAACAAUUUUUAUUGGGCCUAAAGCGUCCGUAGCCGGUUUAAUAAGUCUCUGGUGAAAUCCUGCAGCUUAACUGUGGGAAUUGCUGGAGAUACUAUUAGACUUGAGACCGGGAGAGGUUAGAGGUACUCCCAGGGUAGAGGUGAAAUUCUGUAAUCCUGGGAGGACCGCCUGUUGCGAAGGCGUCUAACUGGAACGGUUCUGACGGUGAGGGACGAAAGUUAGGGGCGCGAACCGGAUUAGAUACCCGGGUAGUCCUAACUGUAAACGAUGCGGACUUGGUGUUGGGGUGGCUUUGAGCUGCUUCAGUGCCGAAGGGAAGCUGUUAAGUCCGCCGCCUGGGAAGUACGGUCGCAAGACUGAAACUUAAAGGAAUU